Salvia splendens (bonfire salvia) is the source of this 1854-nucleotide long non-coding RNA. RefSeq lists it as uncharacterized. The transcript is spliced from 5 exons. The record is from RefSeq and is a predicted model, not a curated record. Lineage: Eukaryota; Viridiplantae; Streptophyta; Magnoliopsida; Lamiales; Lamiaceae.
AUUACUCCCUUCCAUGAUCCGUCAAACUUCUUCUCCCUCAAUUCAUCUGCUUCACCAAAUCCUCAAAUUGAGAAUAGCCCCAACUUCUCGCCUCCUCCUCCCUCACGCCGGCGAUCGCUACUCUCGUCACCUCGGCGAUUCGACAUCGGAGGGUACCGGAUAGUUCUUCUCCCCCAAUUCAUGAAGAACCCAAAUUUCUCCGUCGCUGCCUGUUCCACCCAGGACGCCACUGCAGCGAGCCAUCGGCUCCUCCGCCGCAAUCAACACCUUCCCCCUCCGUUUAAAACUCUGAACAUCACCACCCGUCUUCUCUUGUUUCUACCUUCUCUUGUUUUUAUGCGUAUUUUACCUUCUCUUGUUUCUACCUUCUCUUGUUUUUAUGCGGAAGUCCGAUGUGUCUAAUAUUUCUACCUUCUCUUGUUUUUAUGCGUAUUUUCCGUUUCCUUCUUUUUUACUGUUUUGUUUUUUCUUUCAAGUUCUGGUUGGCUGUCUUUGUUUUUUAAUUUUUGAAUUGUCCGUUAAGGACGUUCAAACAGUGAUGGGUUUUUUUAACCUUUUUUUGUUUUGAGUUAGAAUUUCUCAUGCUCUAGGAUUCUUGGUUUUGACUCUGCUCAUGUUGCUAUGAUUUGCCAUGCUGCUGCAUGUUUAUCAUCAAGGAAAUUUAUUGUUGGAAUUUGGGAGUUUGUACAUAUGAAAGAAAUUUUGACCAUUUGGCCUCUCCUUCAAGCUUUUAUGUUUCCUGUAUCUCAAAGUCAAAACAGAGCAUAUUUGAAUGCUAUGUAGUAUAAGUUUUUCUUGUUUGUUGGCCUUUUUUAGUGGGCAUUUGAUGAGCUGUUCGCAUUUUAGUAUCUUCUUUGUUGGUUCUUGUAUGUAUUAGUCAAAGCCUCUCAGGGUGGAGUUUACUAUUAUACAUGAUUGAGUGUUUUUUGUCUUCAUCACUAGGAUUUCCCAAUUGUAGCUGAUGAAUCGGCGAAUUUUUGAUGUUAGUGAAUGCAGGAAGAUGCAGAUCACGACACAGAGAUUUUACGUGGUUCGAUUUACUGAGACAUGACAGAAGUUAAUGGUAGAGCUUCCCAUUGCAAUGAUGUUUGCAACCUUCAACGUCUCGUAAUGAACAGAAAAAAGGCAGCAGAUAACAGCCCAGACACUUCUUGAUUCGUUAAUCAUGCUUCGAUUGAAUGGGAAGAGAGCCGAAGGAAAUGGACUGGAGAUAUAUCUCAGAGGCCGCGAGGAAUGCAAAAUGAUCCAAUUAUAAGCUGGUCAACGACGUAUGAAGACUUGCUCUCGACCAAUGACCCUUUCCCUAAGCCAAUUCCUUUACCCGAGAUGGUAGAUUUUUUGGUUGAUACCUGGCAUGACGAGGGGCUUUUUGAUUAGAUAAUCUUAUCGAAGAGGCUUCACACCGAUAAAACAUCAGCUUCCUUCUGUUGUUGUUAAAUAGUGAUGAACAUACUUUUAGCUUGAUUAUGCUUCUUAAUGAUGCAUUGCCUUGUCGAUAAGGUGCUGAUCUUAUAUAUUGUUCUACAACAAUAAUCACACUCUGUGGGGGAUAAGGUGCUACAUCUCGUGUUGUCGAAUGAGUACCAAUUGUGUUGCAUAGCUUAUGUGGGAGGAUUGAGCAUGUCUUAUUUUUUCUAGUUUUAGUUAUGCAGCAGUGUAGUAUGAGUAUGAUAUAUAGGUAAUGCAUUCAACUGAAAAUCUUACUAGUUGUUAGUUUAGUUUCUUCUUAAAAUGUAGAAGAGCUAGCAACUAGAUUUGUAUGAACACAUAAAAUGUUGCAGAUGUUGGUGUGUAAUGCUAAUACUACUAUUUUUUAAUUUUGAAUACUUUAAAUGAGCACUGAUGUUUUUUCUA